GACGAACGCUGGCGGCGUGCUUAACACAUGCAAGUCGAACGGAAAGGCCCUGCUCUUGUUGGGUGCUCGAGUGGCGAACGGGUGAGUAACACGUGAGUAACCUGCCCUUGACUUUGGGAUAACUUCAGGAAACUGGGGCUAAUACCGGAUAGGAGCUCCUGCUGCAUGGUGGGGGUUGGAAAGUUUCGGCGGUUGGGGAUGGACUCGCGGCUUAUCCGCUUGUUGGUGGGGUAGUGGCUUACCAAGGCUGUGACGGGUAGCCGGCCUGAGAGGGGGACCGGCCACAUUGGGACUGAGGGACGGCCCAGACUCGUACGGUAGGCAGCAGUGGGGAAUAUGGCACAGUGGGCGGAAGCCUGAGGCAGCAACGCCGCGUGCGGGAUGACGGCCUUCGGGGUGUAAACCGCUUUCGCCUGUAACGAAGCGUGAGUGACGGUAAUGGGUAAAGAAGCACCGGCUAACUACGUG
This 468-nucleotide ribosomal RNA is filed under the name uncultured bacterium. RNAcentral's name for it is "partial 16S ribosomal RNA". It matches the Rfam family "Bacterial small subunit ribosomal RNA", at positions 28 to 507 of the family's 1533-position model. The record is from RNAcentral.